RNAcentral lists this ribosomal RNA (568 nucleotides) under Limosilactobacillus reuteri. RNAcentral's name for it is "bacterial SSU rRNA". It matches the Rfam family "Bacterial small subunit ribosomal RNA", at positions 326 to 886 of the family's 1533-position model. Lineage: Bacteria; Bacillati; Bacillota; Bacilli; Lactobacillales; Lactobacillaceae. The record is from RNAcentral.
UAACCCCCCCCUCCUACGGGAGGCAGCAGUAGGGAAUCUUCCACAAUGGGCGCAAGCCUGAUGGAGCAACACCGCGUGAGUGAAGAAGGGUUUCGGCUCGUAAAGCUCUGUUGUUGGAGAAGAACGUGCGUGAGAGUAACUGUUCACGCAGUGACGGUAUCCAACCAGAAAGUCACGGCUAACUACGUGCCAGCAGCCGCGGUAAUACGUAGGUGGCAAGCGUUAUCCGGAUUUAUUGGGCGUAAAGCGAGCGCAGGCGGUUACUUAGGUCUGAUGUGAAAGCCUUCGGCUUAACCGAAGAAGUGCAUCGGAAACCGGGCGACUUGAGUGCAGAAGAGGACAGUGGAACUCCAUGUGUAGCGGUGGAAUGCGUAGAUAUAUGGAAGAACACCAGUGGCGAAGGCGGCUGUCUGGUCUGCAACUGACGCUGAGGCUCGAAAGCAUGGGUAGCGAACAGGAUUAGAUACCCUGGUAGUCCAUGCCGUAAACGAUGAGUGCUAGGUGUUGGAGGGUUUCCGCCCUUCAGUGCCGGAGCUAACGCAUAAGCACUCCGCCUGGGAGAAAAACC